GCCGCUGACAACGGCGGACUUAUGCGGAAAACCAACCGCGUAGACCUAGAACGUCAAACUUAAGGAGAAAAAAAUG
This 76-nucleotide non-coding RNA is filed under the name unclassified sequences. Its description in RNAcentral is "freshwater-2 RNA". It matches the Rfam family "freshwater-2 RNA". From Rfam's summary of the family: Aquatic, esp. fresh water. No recognized genes The record is from RNAcentral.